Molecule: ribosomal RNA, 435 nt
Filed under: uncultured bacterium
Lineage: Bacteria
Description: bacterial SSU rRNA
Rfam family: Bacterial small subunit ribosomal RNA
Source: RNAcentral
UCGAGGAUCUUCGGCAAUGGGCGCAAGCCUGACCGAGCGACGCCGCGUGCGCGAUGAAGGCCUUCGGGUUGUAAAGCGCUGUCGAGGGGGAGGAAGCUCCGCAAGGAGUUGACCUAUCCCUGGAGGAAGCACGGGCUAAGUUCGUGCCAGCAGCCGCGGUAAGACGAACCGUGCGAACGUUGUUCGGAUUCACUGGGCUUAAAGGGCGCGUAGGCGGGUCAGCAAGUCCGGGGUGAAAGCUUUCGGCUCAACCGGAAAAGGGCCUUGGAUACUGCUGGUCUGGAGGAAGGUAGGGGCGUGUGGAACUUCCGGUGGAGCGGUGAAAUGCGUAGAUAUCGGAAGGAACGCCGGUGGCGAAAGCGACACGCUGGACCUUUUCUGACGCUGAGGCGCGAAAGCCAGGGGAGCAAACGGGAUUAGAUACCCCCGUAGUCC